GGCUCAGAUUGAACGCUGGCGGCAUGCCUUACACAUGCAAGUCGAACGGCAGCACGGGUGCUUGCACCUGGUGGCGAGUGGCGAACGGGUGAGUAAUAUAUCGGAACGUACCUUAUCGUGGGGGAUAACGCAGCGAAAGCUGCGCUAAUACCGCAUACGCCCUGAGGGGGGAAAAGCGGGGGGACCGUAAGGCCUCGCGCUCACGGAGCGGCCGAUGGCAGAUUAGGUAGUUGGUGGGAUAAAAGCUUACCAAGCCGACGAUCUGUAGCUGGUCUGAGAGGACGACCAGCCACACUGGGACUGAGACACGGCCCAGACUCCUACGGGAGGCAGCAGUGGGGAAUUUUGGACAAUGGGCGCAAGCCUGAUCCAGCCAUGCCGCGUGCAGGAUGAAUGCCUUCGGGUUGUAAACUGCUUUUGUACGGAACGAAAAGACUCUGGUUAAUACCUGGGGUCCAUGACGGUACCGUAAGAAUAAGCACCGGCUAACUACGUG
Molecule: ribosomal RNA, 496 nt
Filed under: uncultured bacterium
Lineage: Bacteria
Description: bacterial SSU rRNA
Rfam family: Bacterial small subunit ribosomal RNA
Source: RNAcentral